This 83-nucleotide transfer RNA is filed under the name Canis lupus familiaris (dog). It matches the Rfam family "tRNA". Rfam says of the family: Transfer RNA (tRNA) molecules are approximately 80 nucleotides in length. Their secondary structure includes four short double-helical elements and three loops (D, anti-codon, and T loops). Further hydrogen bonds mediate the characteristic L-shaped molecular structure. tRNAs have two regions of fundamental functional importance: the anti-codon, which is responsible for specific mRNA codon recognition, and the 3' end, to which the tRNAs corresponding amino acid is attached (by aminoacyl-tRNA synthetases). tRNAs cope with the degeneracy of the genetic code in two manners: having more than one tRNA (with a specific anti-codon) for a particular amino acid; and 'wobble' base-pairing, i.e. permitting non-standard base-pairing at the 3rd anti-codon position. RNAcentral also lists the same sequence under 1 other name. Lineage: Eukaryota; Metazoa; Chordata; Mammalia; Carnivora; Canidae. The record is from Rfam by way of RNAcentral.
GCCUGGGUGGCUCAGCGGUUGAGCGUCUGCCUUUGGCUCAGAGUGUGACCCCGGAGUCCUGGGAUCAAGUCCCACAUCAGGCU